Molecule: long non-coding RNA, 373 nt
Filed under: Salmo trutta (river trout)
Lineage: Eukaryota; Metazoa; Chordata; Actinopteri; Salmoniformes; Salmonidae
Description: lncRNA (ENSSTUG00000006011.1)
Source: RNAcentral
UAUAACUAGCAUACAGGUGGAUUCCAUUCCAACGACAGGAUAUAUGUGUGACUGGUUCCCUUUUCUCUCGAAGGGACACCAAGGGCCCCCUGGAGUCCCGGGACCCAAAGGGAUCAAGCUAUAUGCCCACGCUCCCUCCGAUUUGAAGGGGGAGACAGGGGAUCUGGGUGAGAAGGGCUGUAAGGGUUCACCUGGUUAUGCUGGCCAGGUCAACUUUAAGGAAAAAGGGGACCAGGGGGGCAUUGGCACUGAGGGAAGACCAGGGAAGGAUGGGCAUCAAGGGCCCGCUGGAUAUGAGGGGAGAAAGGGGAAUCCUGGUUUAGCAGGACCUGAUGGAAUACCUGGACCGUGGGUCAGUCAUUACUACCAUUAA